RNAcentral lists this ribosomal RNA (1341 nucleotides) under uncultured organism. RNAcentral's name for it is "bacterial SSU rRNA". It matches the Rfam family "Bacterial small subunit ribosomal RNA", at positions 75 to 1410 of the family's 1533-position model. The record is from RNAcentral.
UUGGGUAACCGAAAGUAUGGUUAGUGGCGAAAGGGUGAGGAAUAGAUAGGAACGUACCCUGUGCUCUGGGAUAGCGUCUGAAGCUUCGGCUUCUUCCGAAAGGGGCGGUAAUACCAGAUAAUGUACUUCGGGACCAAAGAUUUAUCGGCAUUGGAGCGGNCUAUCUCCUAUCAGCUUGUUGGUGAGGUAACGGCUCACCAAGGCAACGACGGGUAGCGGGACUGAGAGGUUGGCCCGCCACAUCGGGACUGAGACACUGCCCGGACCUCCACGGAGGGCUGCAGUAACGGAUAUUGGGCAAUGGGCGAAAGCCUGACCCAGCAAUGCCGCGUGCAGGAUGAAGCCCCUAGGGGUGUAAACUGCUGUCAGGGGUCAGAAAGCUGGUUUCGGCCAGUUGAUCAACCCCAGAGGAAGUCACGGCUAACUUCGUGCCAGCAGCCGCGGUAAUACGAAGGUGGCCAGCGUUAUUCGGAAUCAUUGGGCUUAAAGGGCACGCAGGCGGAACAGUGUGUGUUGUGUGAAAUCCCCCGGCUUAACCGGGGAAUUGCACAGCAAACUGCUGUUCUUGAGGCAGGUAGGGGUGCAUGGAACUCUUGGUGGAGCGGUGGAAUGCGUAGAUAUCAAGAGGAACGCCAGAGGUGAAGACGGUGCACUGGGCCUGUCCUGACGCUGAGGUGCGAAAGCGUGGGAGCGAACGGGAUUAGAUACCCCGGUAGUCCACGCCGUAAACGAUGUCUACUAGGUCGUGGGUGUUCUGACACAUUCACGGCCGGAGCAAAAGUGUUUAGUAGACCGCCUGGGGAGUACGGCCGCAAGGUUAAAACUCAAAUGAAUUGACGGGGGCUCACACAAGCGGUGGAGCAUGUGGAUUAAUUCGAAGCAACGCGCAGAACCUUACCUGGGUUUGACAUGCUUGUAUGCCUUCUCUGAAAGGAGUUAGGCUGCCUUCGGGUGAAACUUGCACAGGUGCUGCAUGGCUGUCGUCAGCUCGUGUCGUGAGAUGUCGGGUUAAGUCCUUUAACGAGCGAAACCCUUGCCGUUAGUUGCCAGCGAGUAAUGUCGGGGACUCUAACGGGACUGCCGGUGUUAAACCGGAGGAAGGUGGGGAUGACGUCAAGUCCUCAUGGCCUUUAUGCCCAGGGCUUCACACGUGCUACAAUGGCAAUUACAGAGCGACGCGAUACCGCGAGGUGGAGCAAAUCGCAAAAAAAUUGCCUCAGUUCGGAUUGCAGGCUGGCAAUUCGCCUGCAUGAAGUCGGAAUCGCUAGUAAUCGCGUAUCAGCAAUGACGCGGUGAAUGUGUUCCUGAGCCUUGUACACACCGCCCGUCAAGUGAUGGAAG